RNAcentral lists this ribosomal RNA (596 nucleotides) under uncultured fungus. RNAcentral describes it as "eukaryotic LSU rRNA". The stretch from base 226 to 379 matches the Rfam family "5.8S ribosomal RNA". The record is from RNAcentral. Lineage: Eukaryota; Fungi.
UUUAGAGGAAGUAAAAGUCGUAACAAGGUCUCCGUAGGUGAACCUGCGGAGGGAUCAUUACACAAAUAUGAAGGCGGGCUGGAACCUCUCGGGGUUACAGCCUUGCUGAAUUAUUCACCCUUGUCUUUUGCGUACUUCUUGUUUCCUUGGUGGGUUCGCCCACCACUAGGACAAACAUAAACCUUUUGUAAUUGCAAUCAGCGUCAGUAACAAAUUAAUAAUUACAACUUUCAACAACGGAUCUCUUGGUUCUGGCAUCGAUGAAGAACGCAGCGAAAUGCGAUACGUAGUGUGAAUUGCAGAAUUCAGUGAAUCAUCGAAUCUUUGAACGCACAUUGCGCCCUUUGGUAUUCCAAAGGGCAUGCCUGUUCGAGCGUCAUUUGUACCCUCAAGCUUUGCUUGGUGUUGGGCGUUUUUUGUCUUUGGUUGCCAAAGACUCGCCUUAAAAGGAUUGGCAGCCGGCCUACUGGUUUCGCAGCGCAGCACAUUUUUGCGCUUGCAAUCAGCAAAAGAGGACGGCAAUCCAUCAAGACUCCUUCUCACGUUUGACCUCGGAUCAGGUAGGGAUACCCGCUGAACUUAAGCAUAUCAAUAAG